Molecule: ribosomal RNA, 542 nt
Filed under: Nasima dotilliformes
Lineage: Eukaryota; Metazoa; Arthropoda; Malacostraca; Decapoda; Camptandriidae
Description: partial large subunit ribosomal RNA
Rfam family: Bacterial large subunit ribosomal RNA
Source: RNAcentral
AACAUGUCUGUUUGAAGAUAUAGAAAGUUUGGCCUGCCCACUGAUAGUUUUGAAUGGCCGCGGUAUCCUUUGACCGUGCAAAGGUAGCAUAAUCGUUAGUUUUUUAAUUGGAAUCUUGUAUGAAUGGUCGGACAAAAAAAAAGUUGUCUCUAUAUUUGUUAAUUGAAAUUAACUUUUAAGUGAAAAGGCUUAAAUGAAUUAAAAAGACGAUAAGACCCUAUAAAACUUAAUAUAAAACUAUUAUUUGGUUGAGUUUGUUAUAUAAGAAUUGAGUGAGUGGUUUGUAUUAUAUUGGGGCGAUAGAAAUAAAGUGUUUACCAACUGUUUAAGGUUAGAAGACAGUAAAUAGAUGAUUAAGAUAUUGUAAAUGAUCCUUUGUAAAGAUUAGAAGUUUAAGUUACUUUAGGGAUAACAGCGUUAUUUUUUUUGAGGAGUUCUUAUCGAAAAAAGAGUUUGCGACCUCGAUGUUGAAUUAAAAUAUCUAUAUGAUUGCAGAAGUUAUAUUAGAGGGUCUGUUCGACCUUUAAAGUUUUACGUGAUCU